CCGGAAACCAAAAGGUUUCGGGACUUUUUUCGCAUUUUCAGUUGAUUCUUUGACGGAUUUAGACCCAGAUUUGGGCUUAGGGGAGUCUAAAGGGCCAAGUAGGGUAUUUUCCCCUUUUUCGGCCACCGCAGAUGGCGGUGCCGGUGCUGGAGAUCAGCGGCCGGCACGGUGGCUAAUGACCGGCCGAUGAUCGGGCCUUGGCCGGAGAGUUGGGGAGGGUAGAGCUUUUU
Molecule: long non-coding RNA, 230 nt
Filed under: Gossypium barbadense (sea-island cotton)
Lineage: Eukaryota; Viridiplantae; Streptophyta; Magnoliopsida; Malvales; Malvaceae
Description: long non-coding RNA (GBAR_LNC016729)
Source: RNAcentral